This 247-nucleotide long non-coding RNA is filed under the name Setaria viridis. Its description in RNAcentral is "long non-coding RNA (SVIR_LNC005962)". The record is from RNAcentral. Lineage: Eukaryota; Viridiplantae; Streptophyta; Magnoliopsida; Poales; Poaceae.
AAGAACGUACCUCUUGUCCAGACAAUCGGUGGACGAUUUGGCUCAAGCUCUCAAACUCUUGUGAGGCGUAUUUUUCCUUGAUGUGAGGCAGGAGACCUUGAAAGGCUAUAUCAGCCAGCUGUGCAUCAGUUAGAGCUAGAGAAUAGCAUUUGUUCCUGAUUUCCCGAAACCUCUGCACAUAUGAGGAUAUCGGCUCGUCGCUUCUCUGCCUGAGGCUGGUCAAAUCGGAUAGCUUCAUCUCAUGUAC